This 256-nucleotide long non-coding RNA is filed under the name Homo sapiens (human). Its description in RNAcentral is "non-protein coding USP3-AS1:14". The record is from RNAcentral. Lineage: Eukaryota; Metazoa; Chordata; Mammalia; Primates; Hominidae.
CGGAUUCAUAGGAGAUACUUUGCAAGAUCAAAGGAGACUCACAUUUCAGGCAAAAAGAAUGAUUCCUCAGCAGUCAUUGUGAAAUUUUGUGGGCCACAAGUAUUGUGCACACAUGAUCCUUGAUUUAGAGUCAACCUGAUGUCCAUUAUAGCUGUGGAAAGGCAGCAGGCAGUUGUGUCGCUCUUCACAAUAAGGAACACAUCUUGCUUUCAGCAUGUGAGAGGAACAAAAGCAUUGAUGUAAAUGUGCCUCAAAG